UACGUAGGGGGCGAGCGUUGUCCGGAAUCAUUGGGCGUAAAGAGCGUGUAGGCGGCUCGGUAAGUCCGCUGUGAAAGUCCAGGGCUCAACCCUGGAAUGCCGGUGGAAACUGUCGAGCUAGAGUCCGGAAGAGGCGAGUGGAAUUCCUGGUGUAGCGGUGAAAUGCGCAGAUAUCAGGAGGAACACCAAUGGCGAAGGCAGCUCGCUGGGACGGUACUGACGCUGAGACGCGAAAGCGUGGGGAGCAAACAGG
Molecule: ribosomal RNA, 253 nt
Filed under: uncultured bacterium
Lineage: Bacteria
Description: partial 16S ribosomal RNA
Rfam family: Bacterial small subunit ribosomal RNA
Source: RNAcentral